Ipomoea triloba (trilobed morning glory) is the source of this 3106-nucleotide RNA transcript. It is a transcript of the gene named ankyrin repeat-containing protein At5g02620-like, with no coding region annotated. The transcript has 4 exons. The record is from RefSeq and is a predicted model, not a curated record. Lineage: Eukaryota; Viridiplantae; Streptophyta; Magnoliopsida; Solanales; Convolvulaceae.
AGAAGACAAAAAAACAUUUCAUUCAGUGCCUGCUACUCGGUACCAUAAAAGUUUCUGUAUUUUAAAUAUUUCCGAAACCUUACAGUGAUAUAUACGCAGUUACGCACUCUUUCUUGACUAUAUCGUAAGACAUGGUGGUGGGCUCUGUGUUCUUGAUCUUUUUUGGGUCUCCCCAGAUUUGAACCAAGUGGCCAUCCCCGUGUUUCACAGCCUUUUUGAGAAGGGAAUCUCUGGGGACAGAGUUUCAGCUUCUGGGUUUCGCCUGGAAAACUAUUAAGGUUGUUAAAGUUUGCAUCUUUGCAGUGAAUUCUUCUAGUUUGGAGCACUGGGUAAUCUUCUAUUUCUGGGAAUUUCACUGGGGGAUGAUUGUUUUUCAGUUAUAGAGGCAGAGUUUUGAUCUCUAUAUCAUUUCAAGGUACCUUUUAUCUCUUUUCCCCUAUUUUCCCCCAAAAAGGUUGCUUGUUUGGAUUCAAUUCAUCUAAUUAGGAGCAGAUGAAAGCGACUGUUCACUGCAGAUUUUGACUUUUUUUUUUUGGUUUAAACCUACGGAAAGUCGUAAAGUUUAAUCUCUUGAUUUUGGGUUGUUGUUAUCUGAGAAAUUGAGAUGAUAAGUGAUAAGUGAUGAUGCUGAAAUAUUAAUCUGAUGAUGACGAAAAUUUUCUGGUGUUCAAGUUAUUGAAAGUAAAGUUUCUGGCUCCCCAAGUUCUUGAAAGUUUGGUGGAUUUGGGGAUAAGUAAGUGUUUCUCUGAACUGUUUGGAUUUGAUUUAUAGGAGGUGAGAGAGAGAUAGUUUCUGAGGUUGAGUGAUGGAAAAACAGGCUAGUUUUCGUGGGGUGAUGGAGAAACAGCAAAGUUUUCGAAAUAUGGAAAAGCAAAAGAGUUUCAAAGGACUGAUGGAAAAGCAGAAAAGCUUUAGGAUAGCAAUGGAGAGGCAGCUGAGCUUUGGUGGUGAGAGGAAAAGGGGCAAGGAUUCACCUGGGAAACGAGGUGAUAACGCGCUUCACCUUGCUGCACGAGCAGGGAAUCUAAGUAAGGUGAGGGAAAUUUUACAGAGGUUUGACAGUAAAGCCAUCAAGGAUAUGCUAUCAAAGCAGAACCAAGAGGGUGAGACUGCUCUUUAUGUCGCAGCUGAGAAUGGGCACACCUUGGUUGUCGGAGAAAUCUUGAAGCAGCUAGACCUUGAAACUGCCUCUAUUGCCUCUAACAAUGGAUAUGAUGCAUUCCAUAUUGCAGCCAAGCAGGGACAUCUUGAAGUUCUGAAGGAACUCUUGAAUGUUUUCCCUAACUUAGUGAUGACCACGGAUUCAUCCAAUUCUACAGCCCUACACACGGCUGCUGGUCAAGGGCACGCUGAUGUAGUUGAUUUGCUUCUUGAAAUUGAUUCAAACCUUGCUAAGAUAGCUCGGAACAAUGGUAAGACUGUACUCCAUACAGCAGCAAGAAUGGGCCAUUUGGAAGUGGUGAAAUCGCUUGUAAACAAGGACCCCAGUAUUGGCUUUAGGACGGACAAGAAAGGCCAAACUGCAUUGCACAUGGCGGUGAAGGGGCAAAACGUGGAUAUUGUGCUUGAAUUAAUCAAACCAGAUCCAAGUGUACUAGCAAUAGGAGAUAACAAGGAAAACACCGCACUCCAUAUCGCAACAAGGAAGGGACGACCUCAGAUGGUUCAACGCUUAAUAUCCAUUGAGGGCAUCAACAUCAACGCAGUUAACAAGGCUGGAGAAACUGCUCUUGACAUUGCGGAAAAGUUUGGACCUCCAGAUGUUGUGACUAUGUUAAAGGAGGCUGGAGCUACCCAUUCCAAAGACCACGGGAAGCCUCCAAGUGCUGCAAAGCAACUCAAGCAGACGGUCAGCGAUAUAAAGCACGAUGUUGAAUCCCAGCUUCAACAGAGCCGACAGACUGGGUUCAGGGUAAGAAAAAUAGCGAAGAAGGUGAAGAAGCUUCAUAUUAGUGGCCUUAACAACGCCAUCAACUCUCUGACAGUUGUUGCCGUCCUUAUUGCUACUGUUGCAUUUGCCGCCAUCUUCACUGUGCCAGGGCAAUAUGUUGAAAAGGAAAAGAAAGGGUUUACUCUUGGUGAAGCCAACGUAGCACAUAAAGCAGCUUUCAUAGUCUUCUUCUUGUUUGACAGCCUUGCGUUAUUCAUCUCCAUAGCUGUUGUCGUUGUCCAGACAUCCGUGGUUGUGAUAGAACAAAAGGCCAAGAAGCAGAUGGUCUUCAUUAUAAACAAGCUCAUGUGGGCGGCUUGCCUCUUCAUCUCAGUUGCCUUUAUUUCGCUUACUUAUGUGGUGGUUGGAACUCGGGAGCAAUGGCUAGCUAUCUAUUCUACCGUCGUAGGUGGAAUGAUCAUGCUAACUACUAUUGGCUCCAUGUGCUACUGUGUAAUUCGUCAUAGGUUGGAGGAAUCGAGGAUGAGGAAUAUAAGGAAAGCUGAGACGCUGUCUCGUUCAUUUUCAAUGUCAAUGGUGCCAUCAGAUUCAGAGCUUUAUAAUGAAAACUACAAGAGGAUGUAUGCAGUGUAGAAACAAACCAUAUUGGAAGCAUAUAGAAAACCCACGAUAAGGGGCUAUGAUUCAGCAUAGGACGAACAACAUUAAAGCCUUGUGCAGAGCAUAAAUUGUAUAUGUGCACUGUGCACACUCAAUGGAUGAUGGCAUUUGCAGUUGGUUGAUGCUGUAUCCAAGAUGAAGGCUUUAGAGAAUCAGUUGGUUUCCUCUAAAACUUGUUCUCCCAUUGUCGGUUGAGGACGAGCUUACCCCAUGGCUGCAAAUACCAGGUUGCUAUUCUAGUAACAAGAAAGUGCGAAUAUGUUGUGAAUUUCUGAGAUAAAUUGUAGAAUGGCAACAUUAUAGUUGCUGUAAUUAAUAAUAGUGCUAUAUUUGUUAAGUUCCUGCUCUUUUUCUAUGCUUUGCUGAUUUCACUUGUAACCUGAUGAUGCUGUACAGGUUUUGAUGUCAUAGUGUUGUAAAAAUCAGCUUAGACUGCCUCCUAGGCUGAAGGGUAGAAUGGGAAAAAUUUGCUUAGACCGUCGCCUAGGCUGAAGGGUAGAAUGGGCAAGUCAGCCGUACUUGUUAGAAGUAUUAAAAAAAUCAGAUAUUUUUUUA